RNAcentral lists this ribosomal RNA (240 nucleotides) under Nanobdellota archaeon. Its description in RNAcentral is "partial 16S ribosomal RNA". It matches the Rfam family "Archaeal small subunit ribosomal RNA", at positions 1 to 255 of the family's 1478-position model. The record is from RNAcentral. Lineage: Archaea; Nanobdellati; Nanobdellota.
AUUCACGUUGAUCCUGCGUGAGAUUUCCGCUAGAAGGGUUGGAUUAAGCCAUGAAAGUGUGUUAACCUCGUGUUGACCGCAGAAGGCUGAGUAACACGUCAUUAAUCUGCCUUAUGGUCCCUAAUAAUCUCGAGAAAUUGAGUGUAAAGGGGAUAGUUAUCCUAUACUGGAAUGUUUGGAUAAUCAACAUAAGAUGAGAUGGCGGCCGAUUAGAUUGUUGGUGAGGUAAUGGCUCACCAA